UGGGGAUUGGGGUAACGGCAGCCCGCCAGGUUCUGGCCCUGGUAGUCCAGGUUCGAAUCCUGGAUCCCCAG
Molecule: transfer RNA, 71 nt
Filed under: Thermaerobacter composti
Lineage: Bacteria; Bacillati; Bacillota; Clostridia; Eubacteriales; Clostridiales Family XVII. Incertae Sedis
Also listed under: 9 other names
Description: tRNA-Gln
Rfam family: tRNA
About the family: Transfer RNA (tRNA) molecules are approximately 80 nucleotides in length.
Source: RNAcentral